Molecule: ribosomal RNA, 505 nt
Filed under: uncultured bacterium
Lineage: Bacteria
Description: bacterial SSU rRNA
Rfam family: Bacterial small subunit ribosomal RNA
Source: RNAcentral
AUGGCUCAGGAUGAACGCUAGCGGCAGGCCUAACACAUGCAAGUCGCGGGGCAGCACGGGUAGCAAUACCUGGUGGCGACCGGCGCACGGGUGCGUAACGCGUAUGCAACCUGCCCCCAUCAGGGGAAUAGCCCGCCGAAAGGCGGAUUAAUGCCCCAUAGGCCCAGGGCGCCGCAUGGCGCUAUGGGUAAAGCUCCGGCGGAUGGGGAUGGGCAUGCGUGCCAUUAGCUAGUUGGGGCGGUAACGGCGCACCAAGGCGACGAUGGCUAGGGGGUCUGAGAGGAUGGUCCCCCACACUGGUACUGAGACACGGACCAGACUCCUACGGGAGGCAGCAGUGAGGAAUAUUGGUCAAUGGGCGGAAGCCUGAACCAGCCCAUGCCGCGUGCAGGAUGACGGCCCUACGGGUUGUAAACUGCUUUUCCCCGGGAAGAAUAAGCCCCUCGUGAGGGGGGAUGCCGGUACCGGGGGAAUAAGGAUCGGCUAACUCCGUGCCAGCCGCCGC